This 365-nucleotide unclassified non-coding RNA is filed under the name Hevea brasiliensis (rubber tree). Lineage: Eukaryota; Viridiplantae; Streptophyta; Magnoliopsida; Malpighiales; Euphorbiaceae. The record is from RNAcentral.
ACUGGAGUUUGGAUCGAGGAUUGUCCUCUCCAAGGGCUAGUGGAUUGUGGAUGGACCCAGCUUAUUUGAAACAUGGUACCCAAAUAUAUGAUUCAAGUAGUACCAGCUUGGGUGCUAAGUUGGAUAUGAGAACAGCUGCAAUUGGGAAUGGUGUGCCCAUUCCAGGAUUGCAGGACGGUGAAGUGGCCAGUGCAGAAACAUCUGCUGCUAAAUCACAUGAAUGGACAUCUCCAUUUGAGGGGAAAGAUCUCUUUACUUUACCCAGACAGUUUGUUUCAUCUCCUUCACUGUAGGGUGGGGGGCAGGGCAUGAUUUCAAUCAAUAAAAUAGAAAGAAAAAAAAAAACUGGAAAAUAUGUUGAAUUU